RNAcentral lists this ribosomal RNA (253 nucleotides) under uncultured bacterium. Its description in RNAcentral is "partial 16S ribosomal RNA". It matches the Rfam family "Bacterial small subunit ribosomal RNA", at positions 524 to 776 of the family's 1533-position model. The record is from RNAcentral.
UACAGAGGUCCCGAGCGUUGUUCGGAUUCACUGGGCGUAAAGGGUGCGUAGGUGGCAUGGCAAGUUUGAUGUGAAAGCUCAGGGCUUAACCCUGAAAUGGCAUUGAAUACUGCUGUGCUGGAGGUUUGGAGGGGGGACUGGAAUUCUCGGUGUAGCAGUGAAAUGCGUAGAUAUCGAGAGGAACACCAGUGGCGAAGGCGAGUCCCUGGACAACACCUGACACUGAGGCACGAAAGCCGGGGGAGCGAACGGG